Molecule: ribosomal RNA, 164 nt
Filed under: uncultured bacterium
Lineage: Bacteria
Description: partial 16S ribosomal RNA
Rfam family: Bacterial small subunit ribosomal RNA
Source: RNAcentral
UGAGGAAUAUUGGUCAAUGGGCGGGAGCCUGAACCAGCCAAGUCGCGUGAGGGGAAGACGGUCCUAUGGAUUGUAAACCUCUUUUGUCGGGGGAGCAAAGAGGCCACGUGUGGUCAAAAGCGAGAGUACCCGAAGAAAAAGCAUCGGCUAACUCCGUGCCAGCG